RNAcentral lists this unclassified non-coding RNA (345 nucleotides) under soil metagenome. RNAcentral describes it as "partial contains 5.8S ribosomal RNA, internal transcribed spacer 2, and large subunit ribosomal RNA". The stretch from base 1 to 120 matches the Rfam family "5.8S ribosomal RNA", at positions 35 to 154 of the family's 154-position model. The record is from RNAcentral.
GAUGAAGAACGCAGCGAAAUGCGAUACGUAAUGUGAAUUGCAGAAUUCAGUGAAUCAUCGAGUCUUUGAACGCACAUUGCGCCCCCUGGUAUUCCGGGGGGCAUGCCUGUCCGAGCGUCAUUGCUGCCCUCAAGCACGGCUUGUGUGUUGGGCCUCCGUCCUCCUCCCGGGGGACGGGCCCGAAAGGCAGCGGCGGCACCGCGUCCGGUCCUCGAGCGUAUGGGGCUUCGUCACCCGCUCUUGUAGGCCCGGCCGGCGCUUGCCGACACAUCAAUCUUUUUUCCAGGUUGACCUCGGAUCAGGUAGGGAUACCCGCUGAACUUAAUCAUAUCAAUAAGCGGAGGA